UCUUCAUGUUUUUCGGUUUCU
RNAcentral lists this non-coding RNA (21 nucleotides) under Caenorhabditis elegans. The record is from RNAcentral. Lineage: Eukaryota; Metazoa; Nematoda; Chromadorea; Rhabditida; Rhabditidae.